CUACGGGGCGCAGCAGUGGGGAAUAUUGCACAAUGGGGGGAACCCUGAUGCAGCAACGCCGCGUGGAGGAUGACGCAUUUCGGUGUGUAAACUCCUUUUAUAUGUCAAGAAAAUGACGGUAGCAUAUGAAUAAGCACCGGCUAACUCCGUGCCAGCAGCCGCGGUAAUACGGAGGGUGCAAGCGUUACUCGGAAUCACUGGGCGUAAAGGACGCGUAGGCGGGGUGGAAAGUCAGGUGUGAAAUCCUACAGCUUAACUGUAGAACUGCACUUGAAACUUCUAAUCUAGAGUAUGGGAGGGGGAGAUGGAAUUAGUGGUGUAGGGGUAAAAUCCGUAGAUAUCACUAGGAAUACCUAAAGCGAAGGCGAUCUCCUGGAACAUUACUGACGCUAAGGCGUGAAAGCGUGGGGAGCAAACAGGAUUAGAUACCCCGGUAGUC
Molecule: ribosomal RNA, 439 nt
Filed under: uncultured bacterium
Lineage: Bacteria
Description: partial 16S ribosomal RNA
Rfam family: Bacterial small subunit ribosomal RNA
Source: RNAcentral